UGCCGCGUGGUGUAAUGGUAACACAAAUGAUUUUGGUUCAUUUGUUUUCGGUUCGAGUCCGGACGUGGCAA
RNAcentral lists this transfer RNA (71 nucleotides) under Caudoviricetes sp. Its description in RNAcentral is "tRNA-Gln". It matches the Rfam family "tRNA". From Rfam's summary of the family: Transfer RNA (tRNA) molecules are approximately 80 nucleotides in length. Their secondary structure includes four short double-helical elements and three loops (D, anti-codon, and T loops). The record is from RNAcentral. Lineage: Duplodnaviria; Heunggongvirae; Uroviricota; Caudoviricetes.